UCAGGAGGCUGGGGUGCAGUCAUAAGAAAUGAAGAAGGGGAGGUAGUUGCAUGUGGAGCAGGUAAGCUGGAGAGUGUACUGAACCCUUUUCAUGCAGAAAUUUUGGCCGCCCUCUAUGGAGCGAAACUAGCAGGAGCGAAGGGGAUUAAUAAGGUAAUUUUUGAAACCGAUUCGCUGCUGCUGAAGCAAGCCAUGGAAGGCGGAGAGGAUGAUCUGUCGCCUAUCUGUUUCGCACUAGCUGAUUUGACGGAGUACAUAGCACAAAAUAUCUAUGACUGUGUCUUCAGUUUUUGUAAUCGGAGCUGUAACCAAGUAGCACAUUCUCUAGCAGCAUAUGGAUGUACUCUGAAUGUUGGGGAUGAGCUAUGUUCAGAUAAUGUAAUCCCGAAUGUACAACAUCUUGUGGCGGGCGAUUUAGCUCCGUCCACUAAGUAA
This 435-nucleotide ribosomal RNA is filed under the name Triticum aestivum (bread wheat). RNAcentral describes it as "partial small subunit ribosomal RNA". The record is from RNAcentral. Lineage: Eukaryota; Viridiplantae; Streptophyta; Magnoliopsida; Poales; Poaceae.